Amphibalanus amphitrite is the source of this 1448-nucleotide long non-coding RNA. RefSeq lists it as uncharacterized. The record is from RefSeq and is a predicted model, not a curated record. NCBI's taxonomy places the organism in Eukaryota, Metazoa, Arthropoda, Thecostraca, Balanomorpha, Balanidae. The transcript is spliced from 5 exons.
CAUCCUUCUGCCAUAAAGUCGUUCUGCACGACCCGGAUGCCGGAUCGCCGGACACCGUCGCCAACUCCGAAUUCAGAACGUGGAAGAAAGUGGCGUCCAGAGGCCCUCGCAGUGCGUCUCACUGACCAUAAGCGCACUGGACUCUGAUGGAAGGAAGAGUGACAUCCAAAUCCCUGAAGUGUGGUCCGUUCCAGCUCUCAACGUGACUGCGACUGUGGUAGCGAGAAGCCAGCUCAAAGGAUGUGAACAUCUUCAAGGACUGGAAUUCCCACAGUACGACGGUGGGCAAGUGGAACUGCUUAUCAGAGCGAACGUCUUGGAGGCGAUCCUGCAAAGAGAGCCGCGUGUGGGACGCCCGAAUCAACCAGUAGCAGUGAAGACCGACGUCGGGUGGGCACUGACAGGAUCGGCUUCGACCAUCGUUCCCAGUAGCUAGAAGUGAAUAUAUCGGUUCGAAGUUCACUUUUAAUUUAGUUCAGCGUCGAAAAAUACCAGUAAAAUCAUGAAAAAUAUUACUUAUGACCCUGAUAAAAUCUGGUCCAAUUGUCUUUCAAUUUGUUUGAUUGCUAUCCCCGAAAAUGCUACUUGUUUUCAGAAGUUCGGUGUGACAUUCAGUUCAGUUCAAAAUGACUGAAUAUAUAGUUCAUUCAGUUCAGUUUUCCUGCGUCUCACCUUGACUGACAGUUUAUUCAGUUCAGUUCAGAUCACGGCAUGUAAGUGCCUCCGUUCAGUUCUUUCAUUUCAGCUCAUUCAGUUCAGUUCACAACCGUUCUGGCCCUGGUCUCAUUGUAUCUUGCACUAAUAUCAAACAAUAAUUGCACUGUAAUUACGAUUUUUUUCUUUGCAGACUAUGUACUGUCGCCACUUCAACAUGACGUGCAGAUGCAACGCAACCGGCUCCGAUCCGAGGCGAUUGACAAACAGCAGCGCACUGCACUGAUGGCAGUCACCUUCAGCGACCGACGCAAUCACGUCGUCAGGCUGGGAACAACCGUGAAACGGCUGCUGGAUCUCUACCUGCUCUGAAAGAUCCUGAAGAGAUCUGGCUCGAGAUGAGCCGCAUGGAGGGUGCCGUCGAAGCUCCGACAUCGAAGCUGAAGGAAUCCGUGUCCUGUUGCUAGGCUCCGUGUCCUGUUGGACGCCGCCCAGGUGCUGACAGGAUGUCAAGACACGGACACGGUCAAGAUCGAAGCCAUGAUGGAGUAUCUGCUAGUCAACUACAGCGACGUGAUCGUCGACGACUUCAGAACGCCACGCUCGCCCUUCAUUCGGGACGGUGUGGAACGAGGUAGACAGAAUGGCCGGUGUCCCUGUGGGCGUCCGAAUGGCGGAGGUGCGACAUCGCUACAACAAGAUCCUGAAGAAAGCAGCUGACCUCACUGGAUGUUCUGAAGAUCGGGCCGCGGAGGCUCUCGCCAGGCUGUUCCGAUGUGACCUGGAGACUGUCA